Cavia porcellus (domestic guinea pig) is the source of this 2295-nucleotide long non-coding RNA. RefSeq lists it as uncharacterized. The transcript is spliced from 2 exons. The record is from RefSeq and is a predicted model, not a curated record. NCBI's taxonomy places the organism in Eukaryota, Metazoa, Chordata, Mammalia, Rodentia, Caviidae.
CCCAUUGCUGCCUCCCUGCCUCUCUCUCCUAUGGGCACUGCGUCUGCCUACAUUAACCAUGAUCCUCUCCUGCUUACGUCACAUACCCGGAUGAGACAGUGACCCUGUUGUAUUCAUCCCUGUAGCCUCUUCCUGUCCCACCUCCUGCCCUUGGCCUAUAAAAGAUGUAAUCACUUCCGGAAUAAACCGGGGGCUUGAUCGGAUUUUUUCGACUUGCUUCCAUCUCUCUUUGUCUCCCCUAUGUCUUUAUUUAAUCCCCGUUCCACCUCCAGGUACACCCCACGGAUUGAUCCCCAGACCGGAUCAAGUGGCGCCCAACGUGGGGCUCCUGGCACGGAGGAGUCAACGAGGGAACCGUUUGAGACAGCCAGCUUAAACUGAAAGUGAAAGCAAAUUGAACCAAAGACCUCGGCGAGGAGUGAGCAAACUUAAACAAGGAUUAAAGCUUAAAGCAACAGGACAUUAAAUCAAGUACCGAGGCCUGUGCAGAUGACUACCCAGCGUACCUGCCCGAGUCAUGGUGACACAACCCCCCGGAGCCUUAUGCUGCCUACUCAGCCUUCUCCUUGAGCCAUACCACACCCAUGGUGGAUUGAGACCCCUGCCAAACAGACUACAACUGCUGACAGCCCUGCACAGAACCCCCUGUGACCACGGAAGAGGCUCUUCUCAGUCUGGGGGAACAUAAACCAGCCAAAUAGACUGCGGCCGGUGUUAUGCGAGGCAUACUCCAAGACAUAGGAGAACGACUUCAACAGAGACACCAACAAAUGGCUGCCAACCCCUUCUCCUCGAUAUGUGGUGGGGGGAGCUUUUCCCUUACCUAGCGCCCCUUUUGGGUCCCCUAGCUGCCCUAUUGCUUCUCCUUUCUGUGAGUCCUUGUAUUUUCAGAGGAUUAUGCUGCUCAUUAAUAACCGGAUAGACGCGUUUAUGGCAAAGCCCAUUCAGGUACACUAUCAUCAGCUGGAGAUGGCAGAUCAACAAACCUACCAGGAAGGAAUUCCCACGAGUGGCCCAUAUGACGAUGCGGCCUAACUGCCCUCGGGCAAUGGACAGGCAGUCAGAGACGGGCAACUAGGACAUGCAUGUUAACUCCAUCGGCCGCCUAAGACAGGCACAGGACCAACUGCUGUCCUGCAAGCCCAUGAUGGGUAAGGCCUGGUUGGGUUCAUGCAAUGAGGUCCUUGACCUAAGACAGACGCUGUCCGGCAGGGCCUGCCAUACUCUUGAUUAAAUAAUAUAGAAAGGGAAGAGAUGUAGGGAGCCGAGCGACAGCCCAUUGCUGCCUCCCUGCCUCUCUCCCCUAUGGGCACUGCGUCUGCCUACAUUAACCAUAAUCCUCUCCUGCUUACGUGACGUACCCGGAUGUGACGGUGACCCUGUUGUAUUCAUCCCCGUAGCCUCUUCCUGUCCCACCAGCCCGCCCUUGGCCUAUAAAAGAUGUAAUCAUGUCCGGAAUAAACUGGGGGCUUGAUCGGAUUUUUUCCACUUGCUUCCAUCUCUCUGUCUCCCCUGUCUUUAUUUAAUCCCCGUUCCGCCUCCAGGUGCACCCCACGGAUUGAUCUGCAGGCCGGAUCACUCUGGGGCAGAGGAGCUCACGUUUGGAACUUUGUUUUUUGUCUUGUACUUAGAGAGUUCUACUACACUGUGGAGAUUUAGGAAUAAAAACAAAAUUACUAUAGGGAAUAUGUUCUUGUUUGUGGGAAAAUAUUCAAAAAUUGUCUGACCUAUUUUUCUGGCAGUGGCCUUUUGAUUUCCUUCCCUUAAUACAAUGCUUUGUUUGACUUGAAAAUAAAAGGCAAAAAAAUUAAAAGGCAAAUACACGAAUAUAUAAACAUGUAUGAAUAUGUAUUUGUAUAUACAUAAAAAUGAGGGAAAGAGAAGUGAGGGGAAAGGAGAAGAAAGCCUGAAAACCUGAUUUCUUAUGCUUGCUAAGUGAAAAAGACAGGUGAAAGUGGAAUCAGGCAGGACCUUGGCGCAAGGGAUUCGGCUCAGUGCAUAAGCACCUGCCGGCGGGCGAGCUCCUGAUUUGGGCUCCUGGUGCAGACGGGAAAAAAGAAAGCCUCCCCGCCACCACAGAGGUCCUGAUCCUCUUGCCCUGCUUAACAUCUACUAAAAAUAGCUGUGCAUGGAUUAUAACAAUUUAAGUUUUAAUAACUUCAUCAGGAGAUUGUUUUAUUUUGCUGUUUUGUCUUUUUGAGACAGGAUCUCUCUGCUGCUCAGGCUGGCCUUGAGCUCACAUUUGGAAUUUUGGGUUUUUUUUUUUUUUUUUUUUCUCUUGAGAUGGAGGUCUCA